UAUUCUUAUGUGAAUCCUUUAACCCCCCACCCCACCCCUUUAUGUGUGAGUUAUGGUUCAAGGCAUGGCAAUUUAUAUAGUUGUCCAUGUUUUUGGGCUGGAUUCUUCGAAUUCCAAACUCAAUCAAUCCCCAUUCCCUUUCCCCUUUAUGUGUUUUUGAGCCUUGGACUUGGGUCUAGCAAUGUCCUAAUCACUGUCCAAACCCUUUUCUGACCUCCAGCAGUCUGCUCCUAAUUUGUUUGACCAAGCAGGUGUUCAGGGGUGUGCCAGUUUGUUUUGUGGCUAGGUAUGACCACCACCUGUCAUGACUCCCCAAUUCCCUUUUAACUUGCACUUAUUCUUA
This 343-nucleotide long non-coding RNA is filed under the name Nicotiana benthamiana. RNAcentral's name for it is "long non-coding RNA (NBEN_LNC020453)". The record is from RNAcentral. Lineage: Eukaryota; Viridiplantae; Streptophyta; Magnoliopsida; Solanales; Solanaceae.